GGCGGGAUGUCCGAGUCCGGCUUAAGGAGGCGGUCUUGAAAACCGUUGACCCUUCACGGGGUCCGUGGGUUCGAAUCCUACUCCCGCCGCCA
Molecule: transfer RNA, 92 nt
Filed under: Pseudodesulfovibrio senegalensis
Lineage: Bacteria; Pseudomonadati; Thermodesulfobacteriota; Desulfovibrionia; Desulfovibrionales; Desulfovibrionaceae
Description: Desulfovibrio senegalensis tRNA-Ser
Rfam family: tRNA
About the family: Transfer RNA (tRNA) molecules are approximately 80 nucleotides in length. Their secondary structure includes four short double-helical elements and three loops (D, anti-codon, and T loops). Further hydrogen bonds mediate the characteristic L-shaped molecular structure. tRNAs have two regions of fundamental functional importance: the anti-codon, which is responsible for specific mRNA codon recognition, and the 3' end, to which the tRNAs corresponding amino acid is attached (by aminoacyl-tRNA synthetases). tRNAs cope with the degeneracy of the genetic code in two manners: having more than one tRNA (with a specific anti-codon) for a particular amino acid; and 'wobble' base-pairing, i.e. permitting non-standard base-pairing at the 3rd anti-codon position.
Source: RNAcentral